AUGGAGUGUAGGGUGGGACACUGUUUGAUUUGUGGAAGGGAAAACCAUAUCACUAGUGAUUGCAAUUUACUGAAGCAAGUGAAACUAGUUCCCAAAUAUGUUGGAUAUGCUGCCAAAGGGCUGGGAAUCCUACUGGUUCAAAGUUACAAAGAUGUGCUUGUUGCUGAACACACAAAUCCUUUAGGUGUGGUGAUUGUUAGGGAAGGGAAAAUCAAUGAAACUGAGCUCACAAAGGCUAUGGGAGAGAUGUUUGAUUGGGAGUGGCAGUGGAGAGUUAACGAAUUUGGACAAAAUGGGUUCAUGAGGAGAUUCCCCAACAAGGCAAAACUGGUAGAACUGGCUAAAUUCAAUGACUUCAAUUUGCUUGGGACAGGGGUGGUCAUCAAGGUCCAGCUCUGGUACCUGGAUCACCAAGCUAUGGGGAAAUUUCAUACUGUAUGGAUUAAACUGAGCAGGGUGCCUGAUUGUUUCAGACACUUCUUGGGCAUAUGUGAAGUUUCAGCUGCAGUGGGGCAUGUGCUGGAAGUGGAUAUGGAUACAGUCAAUGAAGAAAAAUUAAGGGUCAAAUGUGGAAUCAGAGAUGUGGAAAAAACUCCACCUCAAGUGGAAAUCACUGCCCCUGAUUUGCUCAUGUUCAGGAUUGGUGUGGAAGUGGAGAAGGUGAUGGAAAUUGGCUGGUAUAAGGAGGAUAAGAGGAAAAAUGAAAACACACAUAAUCUAGAAGAUGGGGAUGGAGAAACAAAGAAUAGGAAAAGAUCCAGGGUGGAAGAAACUGAACACAAAGGCAUUUCACUGGGAUGUUUGUCUCUCAAACAGAGUGAGGAAGUAGAUGGAAAACUGAUCAAAAUGAAAAAACAAUUAGAAGAAAGUAUGAUGCAAUGGCAAGAUGAAAUGUAUGCUGAGAGAAGGAAGUGGCAAAAAGAGAGUGACAUCAUGUUCAACAAGAUCAAGACCUUGGAAGAGGACAAAGCUAGACACAGUGCAUGUGGGCUAAAGCUAAACAGAAAAUAA
RNAcentral lists this ribosomal RNA (1011 nucleotides) under Triticum aestivum (bread wheat). RNAcentral's name for it is "partial small subunit ribosomal RNA". The record is from RNAcentral. Lineage: Eukaryota; Viridiplantae; Streptophyta; Magnoliopsida; Poales; Poaceae.